This 849-nucleotide long non-coding RNA is filed under the name Phoenix dactylifera (date palm). Its description in RNAcentral is "long non-coding RNA (PDAC_LNC017633)". The record is from RNAcentral. Lineage: Eukaryota; Viridiplantae; Streptophyta; Magnoliopsida; Arecales; Arecaceae.
UCAUCGUAACCAUUACCUUGUCCCAACUAUUUUGUGGUUGGUUGCACUCAAAAACCCAUAUUAAAGAGGGCAUAUAUGUAUGUAUGUAUGUAUGUAUGUAUAUAUGUAUGUAUAAAAUUCUUUAAAGGUGAUAUUGCAUUAGGUGAUAAAAAAGAUCCUAAAUUCAUCAUUUUGAAGAAAUCAGAUAUGGGGAAAUCUUGCACCGAGGAAAGUUCCAAUCUAUAUUUACAAGGAAAAAGCUCACAUAAGUUGGUCCUUUGGUUGCUUCAAAAAAUUAUUUUGCAAUGUUCAUUAGUUCAGCGCUUAUGUUGUGAUGUCAACUGAAUAUAGAUUUUGUAUUAUAAUGUUAAUUUUCAGCAUUAUCAAUGUGUUGGGUUAAUAACCAAAGAAAAGAAAAUUCAACAUGUUUCAUCUACUUAGGCAUGAUUUUUUAUCAAUUCUCUUUUGAUGCAUAAAGCAGAUACUUUUUCUUCUUUCGUUUAGUGUAGCACAUUUUCUGUUUCGCUUCAAGGCAUAAUGGUACAUACAGCUUCAAGUGAUUUUACAUUCAAGGAACAAAGCUUGUACUUGGUAGAAUGUAGACUUGCCUUUGACACUCUUUCCUACCAAAAUCUAAUUGCGAGAAAAGUGAAUUCUUCUGAAAGUUUUAUGGUUUAAUACGGUCUUUGCAACUUCACUGCUUCUAUUCUCAUCACUCCUGUCAUUUCUUCGAUGCAUUCACCAACAUAAUUUUUGGUUUAUUGAAUGAUGUUGAUGGAAUUGUCACUGAAUUUAACCACUUUAGAUUUGCCUUUUGAAAUUGUAUGAGGAUUCAUUCUUCUGAAAGACACUAUCUAAUGCUAAGCUGGA